GAGAUCGGUGGAUCUAGGUCACAGCUGCUGAGGAGUUAGGAGGGACGAGACAGACACUCUGGCAUCACGUUGCUUCGAAGUGAAAUCGGGAUCGGCCAAGACUGAACAGCCCUUUAAAGGGAAAAAAGACUCCAAACCAGUACUGUGAUAGAUCUGUUAUUUUUAAGGAACAUCCUUUAAAUUUAUGCACACACACAAAUAGAGAGACAGGGAAAUGAUGAACAUAUACCCUUUCCUCAGUGAAAUCAGGUUAAGAAUUAUAAUGCAUUAUUGUUUAACUGUUUAAAAAAUAUCCUUUAUUGGUUAUAAGCACUAAGAGUUUGAGAGGAAGUUUUAUCGGGGUUCAGCAUCUUGUCACCAAGAUGGAGUUUGGUCAUUUAAAGACCCGAGAAGCUAAAAUAUUAGGAGAAUAGUUUAUUAAGUUCUGUUUCUUUUGCUCCAGAUCUUUACCUAUAAGAAGAUGAGAAAUAAUUGUAUUUUUACCCAGAGAACUCAUAUGCCUCGGGCGGGGGGGGGGGGAACCCCUGUCUGUUUCUAGGAUGGGUUUAAAAGUCACUUGGCACCUGGGGGUGGGAGCCGGGGCCUUGGCCGCCCUCCAGGGGCUCUCCGUGACGUAGACAGUUCCAGUGUGGGCCUGUCUGAGGUUCAAGGGGAAAGGAGUGAGGAUAAAUGGAGUUUUCCUUUGAAGUUAAUAACCUCCUGCAAAGGCUUUUAGUAGAACAGCAGACACCUGAAACAGCACUUAACAUCCCCCUUUCUUUCCCUGCGAUGGUCAAACGCAGUUCGAGAACACGUGGUCUUUGAGAGCCAAUCACCGGGUCUGUGUGCCAGGCACACCCUGGGCAGGACCCAGGACCCAGGACCGGGUGGUUUACGCCCCUUCUCAGCCUCACAUGUGGCUUCUCCUCAGCUGGGGGCCCCGCGCAGAACAAAGAAAUGCUUGGCUCUCCUGAAUGCCUCUGUCCCCCAGCCCAGGCAGGCAGGAAGCCAAGAGAAAUGUCUGAGUGGCCGAGGUUUCUCUUUUCCGUUCUACUGUAGGAGGCAGGAGACCCUUUUUGAAUUAGCUCGGUUUUCUUGUUCAAAGGCACACUCUCCAGACGGCAUUUGCAGAAGUCUGUCUGUAACAGUCUGUGUCUUCUUAUGCCUGGGACUUAUUUGGGGAGUGAGAAUCUUUCCAGGAUGGAUUCUGCUGGCCAUUUUGGGCCACUUUGGAAGAUGCUGUGGGGACACGUAUUCUCAGGUAUGUUCCACCUGGGGCGACACGUGGAUGCUUCACAAGGAGCACAACCAAACCAAACAUCACGGUGGCCUCACGCUCAGACAACACGCCAGUGGGGGCCGGACGUUGUGUGUACAUGAGGGUGAAGUACAUGCUGGUGGGGACGUAGGAUGGGGGAAGAUGAACUCUGAGCAUUUGUAGGCUGUCGCACGCGCAUUAUCUCAUUCAAUCUUCCCAAAGACCAUUGUGCGGUGAGAUAUUUCAGACUCCUAUUUUACCCAUAAGAGGACAGAAUCAGGGAGGUGAAGCCAUUUGUCCGUAUCAUAGCUAGUAUGUGCUAUAGCUGGAUGGGGUUUGCGCCCAGCUCCCAGUUCUGGUCACAGCUUCUCUGUGCUCCUUCCCUCCCUGUGGUUAGUGGUACAGGCGGUGGCCUGGGGGAUGUCUCAGCGUCUCAGCCGGAUUUAGGGUGGUUCGCUGGGUCCCCUCAGAUUCAGAUGCUUCUGCCGUAAGAACAUCCAGAUGGCACCCUUUAACCCAGAACGCUUGGAAGCAAAGUUCCAGAACAGAACCUGAGAACAACAGAAGGAGAACCAGAACAACAACCUGAGUUAACACGAGGCAGGUUUCCUCGACAGCUAUGUGAGAGAGUACAGAGAAUCGGGCUUUGGUCGCAGAGGACAUAGGUUGGAAUCUAAUGGCAUGAUCUCGGCCAAGCUACACAACCUCUGAAUUCAGUUCGCCUCUGGCCUAUAAUCGUUUGUACCUCAGAGAAGUGUGCGUGAAGGAGAGGUUCCCUGUGACAAAUGCCGGGCCUUCAGGUUUAAGCAGACUUGAUUUAACAACAUCUCCAGAUAAAAUUCAAAACAGCUAUAGAAGAAAACGAAUUGACUUUACAGCCUGCUAGGAUGUUGACAAUGGCUCAGGACGUACACAACUCAGAAAAAAGAAAGGGGGGGGGGACUGAGGAAGGAAUCCCCUUUUCAGAGACUGAGCACGUUGGUUUGGAGUAGAUUAUAAGUAAAAUGUAAUGACGUCCACGUAAGCUUCCAUCGGUGAUGAUCAGGCACUGGAAUGCUCGCACAUGGGCUCAUCUGAGCAUUACUAAUUCAGGACAGUUCUGUUUGUAUGGAAUUAUUUGCAUUUAUGUUUUGCCCGAGUUCAAAAAGGGUACCCUCAGGUCUUGCUCAGAGCAUGGGGGACUAAACACGCAGCUCUCAUUAACAAGCCUGCGAAAUGUGCAAGCCUGCUCCACUCCCUAAAUGCUUUGCAGGAAGUGUUCCUUCUGCCAGCGUGCGGUCUACAGCAGCACCUUCCAGACUGGAAAGCUCAGCAGAGUGGUGUAGCACUGAGGAACAAGCCACCAUAUGGGAGGUCUGUCACCCAAAAGGUGGCUUGGGAGCCAGACGUUUCCUUGGGACCAAGCCAAACAAGGAAGUUCGGGCAGGUGAGAGCUGACCAGCGCCGUGCCCAAGUUCACCAGUUGGACUUUGCUCGAAGGGACCCUCUCACAGCUGACAGAGGGCCUUGGAACUCUUGGGUCCCCUUCGUGUGAACACGCGGCAGCUGUGGUGUGUCAGGAAGGAGUCCCCUUUGCCACAGAGAUGAUGCCACAGUUCAAAGCGUGGCCUUGAAUGUCAGACAGAUUUGGGUCCCCUGCUCACCAGCUGAUUGACCUCGGGGAUGCUGUUCUGCCCUUUGAAGCUUUGGUUUCCCCCACUGCAAGAUGGGUAUAAAAACAUGACAACUUGCCUCAUGGCUUGUGGCGAAGCAUCUUAACAUAAGAAAUGUCUAGCGCACAGUAACCACUCAAGAAAUUUUGGCUUUUUUUUUUUUUUUCCCUCAAACUCUCGGAGCCCAGGGAUCAGUCCAUUUGGGAAGCAAUUUCCUCAGCACUUGCAGUUGCUAUAAAUCAAUGGGCAGAUUGCCUGCAUUUGGGGUGGAAGGCAAUUUAAUUCCGGUGUCUCUACUGUUUGCUUUGUUUUGCUCUGAAUUCAGGCCGUAAAAGGUAAGUUGGCAUCAGCAGUCAGCUGUUGCCACCUACAUCUGAAUGCCAAUGUCCUCUCAUCUAUUGACACAAGAAGAGAGUAAAUAAGGUAAUGUCCCCGGAAUUUUCUUUACACUAAACGUGUAAUUAGCCACUUACCCAUGAUGAGUAAAAUUUAAUUUCAGCUAAGUGAAAAGGAAUGCUGAUUAGAUUUAUUUUAUUAUCUGUUUACUUUCUGGGAAGAGGGCAGCUGGAUAAAAUAUCGUCUUGACUCUACUUUUAAUGUCCUGCAGUGCUUACCACUGAAACGUGCAGAAACUUGAAGCCACUGCACGCAUAAAUGCAAAUAUUCAUUUUAUUGGCAUUUUCCUUCUUUUUAUUAGUUGGAGUGGAGGUGAGCAUGACCCCCUAGCUUCUGUCUCCCCCAGUGCAGAGGCGAGAGGGGCGGGAGGCAAGCCUGGGAGAGAGGCAGAGACAAGUUAGGGCAGGGCCAGCCCUGUACAACACUGCUUGAAGGGGCCUCUCUCCUCUGCUUUCACUGUUUCUCUCUUUCCGGUGACCUUGCCUCCCCUUUGGCAGCUCAGAGCCCCUGCCGGGGCCCCUUUCCUGGCCUCCCUUACCCCAGGAUUCCUGGCUGUUCCUGAACCAUUGUUCUCAUAGCCCUAUUUCAUCAAGACCCCUCUUCCAAAGGCUCUCAGCGAACGGUUGUAAGGAAAGAAAGAGUAUACAUUUCUGCGAAGGUUUUUAUUUUUUUAUUUAUUUUUAUGCUUAUUUAGUUUUUGAGAGAGACAGAGUACGAGUGGCGGAGGGGCAGAGAGAGAGGGAGACACAGGAUUGGGAGCAAGCUCCAGGCUCUGAGCUGUCAGCACAGAGCCGGAUGCGGGGCUCAAACACAGACCGUGAGAUCAUGACCUGAGCCGAAGUCGGAUGCUCAACCGACUGAGCCACCUGGCGCCCCUCUGUGAAGGUUUUUGUAAAUGAUAGUAGCUUCAUGGGCUUCCUUGCUGAUGUCGUAUUUUUGUGGAGUACACACUUUAAGACAUCAGUAUUUAAACCUUAGGGAAUGAAUCAGAAAUGUUGGAGUUUCAGGAAGGACUUUCUAAUUGCCCUUCAAAAAAUUUUUUUAAUGUUUACUUAUUUGAGAGAGACAGAGAGAGACACACAGAGAGAGAACAUGAGCAGGGGAGGGGCAGAGAGAGGUAGGGAGACAGAGAAUCCAAGCAGUCUCUGGGCUGUCAGUGCAAAGCCUGAUGUGGAUCUUGAACCCAUGAACCAUGAGAUCAUGACCUGAGCCGGAGUCAGACGCUCAACCGACUGAGCCACCCAGGUGUCCCUCCUUUCAAAUGUAACAAGAAAAACAAACGUGUCCAUUUCUACAGUCUUAAGACACUCCUGUUAACCAGUAUCAACCAGUUCCUAGAAAAAGAGACCGGAGAACAUCCAGAGAGCAAGUCUAUGAAUUCCAUCCCCUCGUUUCAGGGAUAAUUACGACAUUGUUUACCAUCGGGACUCCAUAAGCUACACUUGAUAGAAUAUCUCAUUCUAUUUUGUUUCAGGCUAUGUGUAAAUGUGGGGAUGACAGAUGACUUUUCCCCAUCCUUCCUGUCUUUGUGGUUUCCCGGUCAUAGAAUUUGAAUGAAAAGCUUUUGAUCGUUGUAUUUUUUUAUUUGUUACUGAAAUACUCUUUUGCUUACAUUUAGGCAGCUCUGGGAAUGGCCAUUGGAAGAGCACACGUUAAAUACUUUGGCUGGCACCAUCAUACUUCGGCCAUCUGUCUAGGUUUCGAAGUACAUGGCCUUCCUCGGGACCUCACUGGGGUGAUACUUGGGGGGGUGUUGAAAUCUGCUGAGAUUUAUUUUGAUGAAGAUGGAGGCCCCCAAAUGUGGGGUGAAUGGAUCAGGUGGAAGAUGGCAGCGUGGGUGGUGAAAGAAUUCACCAUAGGCAGAGCAAAGGAGAUAGAAGUUUACUGAAUAAACUGCAAGGGAACGACAGCCACAUCAGAUGGCCUCGCUGUGCUUGGAGAAACAAAUGAACAACCAGAAGGUCAACAAAAACAGCUCUUCCAUGCACCUGACAUUAUGACCCAUGAAUUUCCCAAUGAGACAAGAACAACUUUAUCCUGAUGGUGACCGAGAGUGGCACUGAUGCCACAUUUGGGGCCAAUCGCUCAUGUAUGAGAGAAUGACCAAAAGGGGGAACUCUUAAAUUCUCAACAAAAUUCUCCUCUUAGAAGGAGGCCGUGAGACUGAGGUGGUUCUAAUACCUCAGGUGUUUGGGUAAGCAAACCCAAGCCAAAGCCUGUAAACGCCUCAAGGAUAAGAGAUCAAAACCUAAGGACAACCAACCAGUUGAGCUUUUCCAAGUCCAGCACACUGAAGCUACGGUCAAUCAAAUAAUUUCCUUGCUUGGCUUCCACAUCUUUUCUAUAAAAGUCUCUCCCCUAGCUCCUGUUGGGGGAGCACUUCUGACCAGUUCUGACUGGGCACUGCCUGAUUUGAAUUGAUUUUUACUCAAAUAAACGCUUAAUAUUUCUAAUAUGUCUCUGUCUUUUAACCAUGUAAAGAACUCUGACAUUCAACAGUCAGAAAAUACACAACGCAAUAAAAACUUGGCCGAAGAUUUGAACAAUUCACCAAAGAUCUAUGGAUGACAAAUAAACACACGAAGAGAUGCCCAACACCAGCCAAUAGGCAAACAUCAACAAAAGUCACAGUGAAAUACCACUUCGCACCUAUUAGAAUGAAAAAUUAAAUAGACUCAUCACAGGAAGUAUCAGCAAGGAUUAGGAAAGCUGGAGCUCUCAUCUACCGCUGGUGGGCAUGUAAAAUGUUCCAACCGCUUUGGAAAGCAGUCUGUUACCAAAUUAAACUUACACUUACUAUAUGGUCAGCCGUUACACAAAUAGAUAUUUACUCCAAAGAAAAGAAAGUGUGUGUCCAUUGAUAUACAUAACAUGAAUGACUCUCCCAAGUAACGAUGCCGAGUGAAGGAAGCAAACAAAAGCGAGUGCGUGGCGUAAGUCCAUUUAUAUAUAACUCUAGAUAAUGCAAAUUAAUCCCUACUCACAGGAAGCAAAUCAGAGGUUGUGGGGGAGGGGAGAGGACUUGAGGGAAGGAUUUUAAAGGGCUCCUUGUGUUGGUGUGGUUAUGGUUUCAUGGCUGUUUACAUACAUCAAAACUUAUCUAAUUGUCCACUUCAAAUGUGUGCUGUUUUUAACGUGUCGUCUAGAACUCAAUAAUAUUUUUGUAAAGUUUUUAAAGAGAAAGCACCCCACAGAUGUAUCUGGAAUCAUGCAUUUUCUCAAUUCUAAGAAUACUUUCAAAUCGCUGGUAUCUAUUCAUCCAUCAACAUCUAUUCAGCCAAGCACUGAGCAAAACCGGCCCUGACUUACCUGGCUGUCUGUCUAGUGGGGGAGAGAGCCAAUUGUAUAUAUAAAGUAAUAAUGGUAUGUUAUGCUUACAGAGCACCUGUAUUUGUGAGGCGGUAAUUAAAAUAGAUUUUACUGAUUUUACCGAUUUUUUUUGUUGUUAUUUUACUGAUGAGGAAACGGAGGCAGGGAAGGGUAGGUACCUCACCCAACGUGGCUCAGUAAGUGGCAGUGUGAGAUCGGAACCCAGGCAGCGUGGCCACAGGGGUUGGAUCCUACCCAGCUCACUGCUCCACCUCCUGGGUGGCAAACUGAGAGGUGCCUUGUGGUGCAGAGGCCAAGACAGGUCACAAGGGCCCUCUGCCUCAUGCAGGUGCCACCCGGAGGAGAGGCCGCCUCAGGGAAGUGAAGGGCAGUGAAGGCGGGUAGGAGCCACGCAGGUGAAAGAGGCAGCCUCACAUCAGACCUGGUUCUGUGUCUCUGGUCACACUCUCCAUUUCUCUCCCCGACUCUCACUGUCCUCCUCUUUCUCUGAAAUGGGUAGGCCCGGGAGAGCCUCUCUGCCUAUGCUCUCGACCACUUCAGGAAACAGAACCAGGUGGGUCCCAAGGGCUGGAGGGCGGGCAUUCCUUUUGCAUCACCCUUUUCCGCUGGAGUCUCUGAAGGCUUGAAGCAGGCGGAGAGACAUAAGUGUUGGCCCAAGACCUUGGCCUUUCGACAACCAGGGGCGUUCCUACCUUUUCAGAUACUCCCAUUGAGCCUUCUGAGUCCCGCAGCUACUGAGAGCUGCACCCAAAUCCAAAAUCCGAUUAUUUUUUUUGAGGCAAAUACGUAACUGAUUAUGAUAUGGUAAUAGCGUCAUUCGUGGCUCAGUCGAUGAAGCCUCCGACUUCAGCUCAGGUCAGGAUCUCACAGUUUGUGAGUUCGAGCCCCGCGUCGGGCUCUGUGCUGACGGCUCAGAGCCUGGAGCCUGCUUCCAGUUCUGUGUCUCCCUCCCUCUCUGCCCUUCCCCUGCUCGUGCUCUCUCUUUCUCUGCAAAAUAAAUAAAGCUUAAAAAAACUCAAAGUACUGGUGUGACCUUGUACUGUUCACAUCAUAAUCUCGGAUUUGCAAUCACUAAGGGCCAGAGCUGAUCGUACCCAGCUCCCCAAAUCUCUAACCUAAACACAUUACGGGAUUAAAAUUGACCAUUAGCAGUGGUCCUAAAGAGGGUAGGGUACUAUUGUAAAGGCUCUGUAACCUGCUGAUAUUAUUAUAAUUGUUUUCAAGGAAAAACUGGUUGGAGAUGAGGCAAGGCAGCACAAAGGCCAUUCAGUUUUGGUGGGGGGUUGAGGCAGGCAGCUCAGGGGCCCCACUCACCCUCCAGUCCCUGAAAGGUAUAUUGUUAAUACUACAUGACAGAUGAAUCAUACCAUGAACCCCAAGAAAUGCCUAGAGGGAAAUCAAAAAAAUGCCGUUAGCAGACAGACUUUUUAUGAUUUUCCCAGGAUACCGUUAUGUUUCCAGAAACUCAGCUCGCCGCCUUACUGAAUCACAUACGUCACAUUACCAGAAACAGUUGCUGACAAAUACUUCAUUUAAAUGCUAUUGAGAUAAAGGCAGGAAGGCUGCGAACAGUUAGAGGCAGAAAAGUAACAUAUGUGUCCAUUGGUAUAUUGUCCCAAAUGGGGAGCACUUUUAUCAUUUUUUUCAUUUGGUGUUGCUCUGCCAGGGGACUGGAAGACAUAUGUCACUUUUCCACCUUAACGGGGCAUUUUCUAGUUUGUUUGGAUUUAUGUCACAAGCUUAAUGAGAUUUAAAUGGAAUUUUUGUAUGUGAAUAAUACGAAGCAUUAAUGCAAAAACUUUAGUUUGCUGUGCUGCUGGCAGAAUUUGCAUAAGGGUUUUUAAAUAUGAAAGAAGAAUAUGGAAGGCCCUUAUCAAUCACAAGGCAUGAGCAAUACUGGAGCCAUAGAGGGAGCAGAUCAAAUUAUGUAAGUAACUAUACUUUUGGAAAAAAAGGUGACGUCUGCAGAUUUAUGAAACUUGCCUCUGUUGGAGAACGGCAAAGUGGUGCCAGCCUGGAUGGGAGACGAGGCACCCGCGGAGGACUCCAGCAUCCUUGAUAGGACUUUCAAGUUCUCACCUUCAUCCAGACCAGCCUCCAACACAUAAACGGACGGCCGUGCGCUCCUAUUUCGUACUGUGCUGGGUAGACAGGGUUUCAAGGAGAGCACCUGGGGCCAUUAACUCUCUUGGGAAAGGGAUACACCUUGCUCCGCGUUUGUAAACAACUCAGCAUUUGCAGUUCUGAGAACCAAGGCACUUAAAGGGAGCGUGGAGGUCAUUUGACAGCUCCCUUGACAGACUCAGGGUGUUCUAAGAUGCCUUUCUUGCACCCCCUGGGCCUUGGGGGAUUUCCAAGACGUUGCCUUAUUUGCUUUAGCCUUGUCACAGUGGUGCCCACCCUGGCAUUUUAUACGCCCCCUCCAG
Long non-coding RNA from Acinonyx jubatus (cheetah), 9041 nucleotides. RefSeq lists it as uncharacterized. The record is from RefSeq and is a predicted model, not a curated record. The transcript has 5 exons. Lineage: Eukaryota; Metazoa; Chordata; Mammalia; Carnivora; Felidae.